CCUUCAGCUGUUCCAGACCUUUCCAGAGCAUAAUCUGGCAGGCCAUUGGCUGGAGGGUACAUGGCCUGUGCAUGGGCACUGUGUGAACACUGGUUGGCCUGCUUCGGUGACUCAAGGAAGAUGUUCAUACGUGAGGUCCCAAGAUUAGAGAAUGUACAUGUUCAAGACAUCAGCAACAAAGACAUGAAGUUUAAAAACCAAAAAAUGACUAAGAGGAAAAAAAGCACAAAACUGAAAAUACAUGGCAGAGAUCACCCCAGGAGGCCUGAAGAGAGUCAUUGGAGUGACUGCACACAGUGGGACAGCACUGUGCACUCUGUGU
This 322-nucleotide long non-coding RNA is filed under the name Cavia porcellus (domestic guinea pig). Its description in RNAcentral is "lncRNA (ENSCPOG00000032009.1)". The record is from RNAcentral. Lineage: Eukaryota; Metazoa; Chordata; Mammalia; Rodentia; Caviidae.